UACAGAGGUCUCAAGCGUUGUUCGGAUUCAUUGGGCGUAAAGGGCGCGUAGGCGGUCCGACAAGUCAGGGGUGAAAUCCUGCAGCUUAACUGCAGAAGUGCCUCUGAUACUGUCGGUCUGGAGGGAGAUAGGGGUGUGCUGAACUUCCGGUGGAGCGGUGAAAUGUGUUGAUAUCGGAAGGAACGCCGGUGGCGAAAGCGGCACACUGGAUCUCAACUGACGCUGAGGCACGAAAGCCAGGGGAGCGAACGGG
This 253-nucleotide ribosomal RNA is filed under the name uncultured bacterium. RNAcentral's name for it is "partial 16S ribosomal RNA". It matches the Rfam family "Bacterial small subunit ribosomal RNA", at positions 524 to 776 of the family's 1533-position model. The record is from RNAcentral.